RNAcentral lists this transfer RNA (72 nucleotides) under Camelus bactrianus (Bactrian camel). It matches the Rfam family "tRNA". From Rfam's summary of the family: Transfer RNA (tRNA) molecules are approximately 80 nucleotides in length. Their secondary structure includes four short double-helical elements and three loops (D, anti-codon, and T loops). Further hydrogen bonds mediate the characteristic L-shaped molecular structure. tRNAs have two regions of fundamental functional importance: the anti-codon, which is responsible for specific mRNA codon recognition, and the 3' end, to which the tRNAs corresponding amino acid is attached (by aminoacyl-tRNA synthetases). tRNAs cope with the degeneracy of the genetic code in two manners: having more than one tRNA (with a specific anti-codon) for a particular amino acid; and 'wobble' base-pairing, i.e. permitting non-standard base-pairing at the 3rd anti-codon position. The record is from Rfam by way of RNAcentral. Lineage: Eukaryota; Metazoa; Chordata; Mammalia; Artiodactyla; Camelidae. RNAcentral also lists the same sequence under 2 other names.
AAGCGUAUAGUUCAAUGGUAGAAUGUGUGCUUAGCAUGCACGAGAUUCUGGGUUUAGUCCCCAUUACCUUCA